AUAUUCAUUACACAACUGCAGCACUGUUAUAAUCCCUAUAUUGAAUCUUGUAGAGAGAGGGAGUUGCGACCGUUGGUACGCGACAACUGUCGGGUGAAGAUAACCAGCCAGGAAGACCCCAUUAAAGGUGUUUGGAGAGGUGGAUCAUUGUUGGCAUCUAGCCCUGAUUUUGAAUCAAUGUGUGUAUCCAAGUUGGAAUAUGAAGAGCUUGGGUCCACACGUUGCCGACGGCGGUUUUUCCACUAAUUUAUAUGACAAAUAAUGGAGCGAAUAUUACGUGCGCCGUGCGUACUUACGCCCGACAGUGUGGUACAGGGGGGUCGGGGUGUUAUGCUAUUUUUUUCUUUUACGCUCGUCCCGGAUGUACAUACGGAUGGGCGCAUGUAAUAUUUUUCCCCAAAUACUGAUAUUGAAUUGGAUAUGGUUCCAUGGAUGGUAUCUGA
Long non-coding RNA from Phalaenopsis equestris, 443 nucleotides. RefSeq lists it as uncharacterized. Lineage: Eukaryota; Viridiplantae; Streptophyta; Magnoliopsida; Asparagales; Orchidaceae. The transcript is spliced from 2 exons. The record is from RefSeq and is a predicted model, not a curated record.